RNAcentral lists this ribosomal RNA (465 nucleotides) under uncultured ciliate. Its description in RNAcentral is "SSU rRNA". It matches the Rfam family "Eukaryotic small subunit ribosomal RNA". Lineage: Eukaryota; Ciliophora. The record is from RNAcentral.
AUUUGUCUGGUUAAUUCCGAUAACGAACGAGACCUUAACCUGCUAAUUAGAUCUUGUUAUCUUAUAACUUGUAUCUUCUUAGAGGGACUAUGUAAAACAAAUACAUGGAAGUUUGAGGCAAUAACAGGUCAGUGAUGCCCUUAUAUGUCCUGGGCUGCACGCGUGCUACACUGAUGUAUACAACAAGUGCCUAACCAGACAUGGUAUGGCAAUCUCGAAUAUGCAUCGUGAUGGGGAUAGAUCUUUGCAAUUAUAGAUCUUGAACGAGGAAUUCCUAGUAAGUGCAAGUCAUCAUCUUGCAUUGAUUAUGUCCCUGCCCUUUGUACACACCGCCCGUCGCUCCUACCGAUACCGGGUGAUCCGGUGAACCUUUUGGACCUUAACUGGGAAGAUAAGUAAACCAUAUCACCUAUAGGAAGGAGAAGUCGUAACAAGGUUUCCGUAGGUGAACCUGCRGAAGGAUCA